AUGCCAAAUAGUAAUCUUUUUGAAGCUCUUCAUAGAAAUAUAAAAGAUGAGAAGGUUUAUUGGCAUUGGAAUCAGAGGGAUAUAAAAUCUAGCUGCAUCUUGCUUGAUGAAGAUUAUGAGGCAAAAAGCGCUGAAUUCGGUGUUACAAGGUUUGCUGGGAGACAUGGUUAUAUUGCUCCAGAUUUGAACCCCUGUAGUCAGGAAAUCCCCCAUAUGCCGAGGCCUUACAAGGUCGGAUGUGAGACAUCAGAUCUUGAUCAGAUAGUCCAAAAUGCACGACUGUCAAUUUUGUGA
This 294-nucleotide long non-coding RNA is filed under the name Vicia faba (fava bean). The record is from RNAcentral. Lineage: Eukaryota; Viridiplantae; Streptophyta; Magnoliopsida; Fabales; Fabaceae.